Triticum aestivum (bread wheat) is the source of this 117-nucleotide non-coding RNA. NCBI's taxonomy places the organism in Eukaryota, Viridiplantae, Streptophyta, Magnoliopsida, Poales, Poaceae. The record is from Rfam.
GUAGUACUCCUCCGUCCGGAAAUAGUUGUGGGGAUGUAUCUAGAUAUAUUGUAGUUCUAGAUACAUCCCUUUUUGUCCAUUUUGAUGACAAGUAUUUUCGGACGAAGGGAGUAUUUU